Molecule: long non-coding RNA, 1913 nt
Organism: Pungitius pungitius (ninespine stickleback)
Lineage: Eukaryota; Metazoa; Chordata; Actinopteri; Perciformes; Gasterosteidae
Exons: 2
Source: RefSeq, a predicted model, not a curated record
ACAUGCCGCAGGGUGGCGAUUCACAGGGCUGGCCCCUCCUUUGCUGCUGUAAAUGCAGGAGGGGGGAGAAGAAAAAAAGGGAGGAAGAAAGGAAAUCGCAGCCAUACGGGCUUGUGCUCCCCCAGCUGAACUCUGUCCGCAAUUCUGACGGUGGGAGAAAAGCGGCGAUGUGGCGACGGCGCUCCUCCCUCCGGCCCUGCAAACCUCAUCUGUCAGCCAUUAGUCAAUCAGCGCCGGCAACGCGCUGCCACGGAGAGAGCUGCCACGGAGAGAGCUGCCACGGAGAGAGCUGCCACGGAGAGAGCUGCCACGGAGAGAGGACAAGCUUCACCUCCGGCAGGAAAGCAGAGGCCGAAGGACCGGAGGGACCCCUGCGGCUCGGAACCCACAGCUGGGCCGCUGUGACUCGCCCACCCAGAAAUGGCGUCAACCUCGAGGCGACCCCACCCAAUGCGUAUCUUUGAGCAGGUAAGCCAGUAGGACACAUGGAAACUGUUACGCACCCAAGAGGAACCCGACCAGGGUUUACGUAUCUGUCACUCAGACAACGUGGCUUUCAAAGCAGCUCAGACUGCGCAAUACCUCCCACAGAGAAGGUGAAUUCCCCUGAAGCCAACGUAGAUCAACGCUGUCUUGUGUGUAAAUGUGCAUUUUUUUGAUGAAUGAUCAAAAAACCUUGGAACGGGGAGGACAAAGAUUAGGUUUUUGACACAAUCUGCUAAUAGGACUCCAUACCAGUUCUCAACAUCAGUUGCAUUAUGCAUCAUCAAGUAUGACAUUCGGACCAAGAGUUUGGUUUGUUUGUCUGUUUGUUUCAUUCCCCACAUUGUGUGGUUCAGAGUGAUAUCAUGUCUCAAAAGCGGGAGAGCCAAUCACAUCGCAGCACGCUCGCAAUGCAACAGGAUGGUAAUACCAAGCAUAUGGCAACCGUAGUUACAUGCACUCUUCAAAGGAGGUCUGUGUUGAUCCGGAGCAAGAACAAACUUGCAGGAGGAGACUGAAGGGAGCGUAGAAUUAUACCCCGAGCUACACGUCGACAGCGUGCUCCACGCUGCGCUUUUUCAACAAUAAUUGUUACUUAAUCACAAGUCCACGUAAUUGUUAUAGCUUAAUCAGUAUAUGUCCUCACGGUGCACAGAUUAAACCUCAAAUCCGAGGAAAAAGGCAGAGAAAGGAAAGAGACGUAGGCUCACAGAAACUCCAGGCUGCUUUUCUGUCUGUGCUCUUGUUUUGCAGGGAGCUUUUUUUUUUUUUUUUUCAAAGAGUCAAAACAACACAUGUUGUCAACAUGGGAACAGCCGGUAAGAGCGGCGUCAUGGGGCACAGGAAUGCCGAGGGGGCCAUAGAUCUUUUUAUCCAUCCGGGCCGCGGCCAUCCCGGCUCGUGUGGAACCACGCGCGGGAGCGGUGUGAAAUUCUCGAACCCAACACAUCUCACGCUUUGGCUUUACGUAUUGUUCGGCGUGACCGACCCCUCGCGGCGUGCGACCAACCGUAGAGAAUCAUCCGACGGUAACAAGAAAGCGAAAGGGAGGCGUUCCACAGGCACCAACGUGCAAAUUCAUCUCAGUUGACGUCAGCCGCCGGUGUGGAAAUAAUUCCCAGACUCGAUCGAUGCGGUUCCUUGUAUUUUGCCACGUCUCAAGAGUUAAAUAAACGAUUGGUUGAGUAAGCACGUACAGUUUCUCCAACACGGUUUCCUUUUUAAGUCAACACCACUCAAGAAAGACACGCCGAGAGAAACCCACGAGUCAAAAGCAAACGACAAAACAGAGACUCCCCGCCAGUUCAAACAUUCCACAGAGUACUUUUUCCAUCACUAUAUAUGAGCAGAGCAGUAUAGCUCAUAUGUGUACUCCACUGGAAUGAUGAACAGACAGCAAUAAUGCUAAUUCUUGAUGACAGAACUUAAAA